GUCCUGGCAGUAAACGGUGCACGUUUGGUGUGGGCGCAAUCGACCGCGUCCGCGCCGGAGCUAACGCGUUAAACGUGCCGCCUGGGAAGUACGGUCGCAAGAUUAAAACUCAAAGAAAUUGACGGGGACCCGCACAAGCGGUGGAGUAUGUGGCUUAAUUCGAUGCAACGCGAAGAACCUUACCUGGUCUUGACAUGCAUUGUGUCUCCGGUGAAAGCCGGAUAGGGUAGCAAUACCCGCUUUGCACAGGUGCUGCAUGGCUGUCGU
This 267-nucleotide ribosomal RNA is filed under the name uncultured bacterium. Its description in RNAcentral is "partial 16S ribosomal RNA". It matches the Rfam family "Bacterial small subunit ribosomal RNA", at positions 793 to 1055 of the family's 1533-position model. The record is from RNAcentral.